UACAAAUUCUUCAAUCAAAUCAAGGACGUCCUCUGCAUCAUACAAGUCUGAUGACUCUAAACAAUCAAGAAGGGUCAACUAGUAAUAUUGAAGUACUCAUAAAGAAAGUGGUAGUUGUAGUAUAGUCUCAGUAUUUCAAUGUUACUAAAUCAUAAGCUCUAGCAGCCUUUUCUUCAUUUUCAUAUCUUCCUACAUGAUUUUACACAAAAGAAUUGAAAGUUACGUCGAAUUUAAUAAAAGAAGAAUACUAUUAUCAUUUUCA
This 262-nucleotide long non-coding RNA is filed under the name Olea europaea (common olive). RNAcentral's name for it is "long non-coding RNA (OEUR_LNC012534)". Lineage: Eukaryota; Viridiplantae; Streptophyta; Magnoliopsida; Lamiales; Oleaceae. The record is from RNAcentral.